AGCUUCUGUGUAUAACUUCUGAACCGAGUAGCAAUCACCAUGAACAGUAGAUCUUCUUAGCUAACCAUCUGAAUAUGGUCUUCGACCUGCAGUUAGGUCUAUGUGGUCAGCUCUGAGCUUGUGCAUUUUAACAGAAAUAACGAAACAAAAAAGAAUCUGAGAGGUUACCAUGGCAGUAACUGAAGAGGAGGAGUUCUAUAAAAUGAUGGAAUUCCCACUUACCACCAAAUUUGAAAACAUACCUAUCCGUUUUCUCAACAGUUUGAUUUGAACUAAUAAUCAAGUUAUCUCGGAAGAACAAAAA
Lolium perenne is the source of this 304-nucleotide non-coding RNA. NCBI's taxonomy places the organism in Eukaryota, Viridiplantae, Streptophyta, Magnoliopsida, Poales, Poaceae. The record is from RefSeq and is a predicted model, not a curated record.